CCAGACUCCUACGGGAGGCAGCAGUGAGGAAUAUUGGUCAAUGGGCGCGAGCCUGAACCAGCCAAGUCGCGUGAGGGAGGACGGCCCUACGGGUUGUAAACCUCUUUUGCCGGGGAGCAACGGGCGUCACGUGUGGCGCCACUGAGAGUACCCGGAGAAAAAGCAUCGGCUAACUCCGUGCCAGCAGCCGCGGUAAUACGGAGGAUGCGAGCGUUAUCCGGAUUUAUUGGGUUUAAAGGGUGCGUAGGCGGAUCGUUAAGUCAGUGGUCAAAUUGAGGGGCUCAACCCCGGCCGGCCGUUGAAACUGGCGUGCUCGAGUUGGAGAGAAGUAUGCGGAAUUCGUGGUGUAGCGGUGAAAUGCAUAGAUAUCACGAAGAACCCCGAUUGCGAAGGCAGCAUACCGGCUCCACACUGACGCUGAGGCACGAAAGCGUGGGUAUCGAACAGGAUUAGAUACCCCAGUACG
RNAcentral lists this ribosomal RNA (466 nucleotides) under uncultured bacterium. Its description in RNAcentral is "bacterial SSU rRNA". It matches the Rfam family "Bacterial small subunit ribosomal RNA", at positions 331 to 793 of the family's 1533-position model. The record is from RNAcentral.